Molecule: ribosomal RNA, 427 nt
Filed under: uncultured bacterium
Lineage: Bacteria
Description: partial 16S ribosomal RNA
Rfam family: Bacterial small subunit ribosomal RNA
Source: RNAcentral
UGGGGAAUUUUGGACAAUGGGCGAAAGCCUGAUCCAGCAAUGCCGCGUGAGUGAAGAAGGCCUUCGGGUUGUAAAGCUCUUUUGUCAGGGAAGAAACGGUGAGGGCUAAUAUCCCUUGCUAAUGACGGUACCUGAAGAAUAAGCACCGGCUAACUACGUGCCAGCAGCCGCGGUAAUACGUAGGGUGCAAGCGUUAAUCGGAAUUACUGGGCGUAAAGCGUGCGCAGGCGGUUUUGUAAGUCUGAUGUGAACUCCCCGGGCUCAACCUGGGAAUUGCAUUGGAGACUGCAAGGCUAGAAUCUGGCAGAGGGGGGUAGAAUUCCACGUGUAGCAGUGAAAUGCGUAGAUAUGUGGAGGAACACCGAUGGCGAAGGCAGCCCCCUGGGUCAAGAUUGACGCUCAUGCACGAAAGCGUGGGGAGCAAACA